UCCGUUUAUUCUCUACUAGCCAAUGGAGGAUGGCACAUAGCAGCGCAGAUCGUAAUGACUGCCCACGAGAAGACAUAAAUCAGGAAGUAUGCGGAGCGGUGUGGGCAUGUAGAAACACAUUAAGCUACAAGCGUGCUAUAUUUUUCUUUCUGGACUAGGCAUACGCUAGCUUGGAGAUCUACACACGUGGAAGGCUGAGGUUAUUUCACCGUGCCUCUUAAAGGUUUAGGUGUAGGAUUCAAUUUGCAACUGCAGAAUUUCUACGAUUCAAGCUUCUGAGGUAUGGCAUGCACAUCUGCUAUUAUCGAAAAGGUCCAACCAUGGAGCUACCAGUACAUGUGAUGCUUGCUCCCUUACAAAUGAACAUGCGCUUCUACAAAUUGGACUAUGUAGUGGCUGAGUCAAAUUGCUGCUGAUGCCUGCAGGCUGAAGAGAUCUCUACUCCUUUUGUUCCUGCUAAAAAGGCUACC
Lolium rigidum is the source of this 470-nucleotide long non-coding RNA. RefSeq lists it as uncharacterized. NCBI's taxonomy places the organism in Eukaryota, Viridiplantae, Streptophyta, Magnoliopsida, Poales, Poaceae. The transcript is spliced from 7 exons. The record is from RefSeq and is a predicted model, not a curated record.